RNAcentral lists this ribosomal RNA (275 nucleotides) under uncultured bacterium. RNAcentral's name for it is "partial 16S ribosomal RNA". It matches the Rfam family "Bacterial small subunit ribosomal RNA", at positions 523 to 796 of the family's 1533-position model. The record is from RNAcentral.
AUACGUAGGGAGCAAGCGUUUUCCGGAUUCACUGGGCGUAAAGGGCGCGUAGGCGGCUCGUUAAGUAUGAAGUGAAAUCUCCAGGGCUCAACCCGGAAACUGCUUUGUAAACUGGCAAGCUAGAGGAAGGCAGAGGUGAAUGGAAUUCCUGGUGUAGCGGUGGCAUGCAUUGAUAUCAGGAGGAACACCAGAGGCGAAGGCGGUUCACUGGGCCUUUUCUGACGCUGAGGCGCGAAAGCGUGGGUAGCAAACAGGAUUAGAUACCCCAGUAGUCC